CUCUACACAACUCUAGUGCGCCCACAACUGGACUAUUGUGUUCAGUUUUGGGCCCCUCAUUACAGAAAGGAUAUAGCCAGGUUGGAAUGGUGCAGCAUAGGGUCACAAGGAUGGUGGCCAGAUUGCAGGGAAAGCCAUUUGAGGCAAGACUGAGGGAACUG
This is a long non-coding RNA of Varanus komodoensis (Komodo dragon), 161 nucleotides long. RefSeq lists it as uncharacterized. The record is from RefSeq and is a predicted model, not a curated record. Lineage: Eukaryota; Metazoa; Chordata; Lepidosauria; Squamata; Varanidae. The transcript is spliced from 3 exons.